GGCCCUGUGGUCAAGCGGUUCAAGACGCAACCCUCUCAAGGUUGAAUCCCGGGUUCGAUUCCCGGCUGGGUCACCA
This 76-nucleotide transfer RNA is filed under the name Bacillota bacterium. RNAcentral's name for it is "tRNA-Glu". It matches the Rfam family "tRNA". From Rfam's summary of the family: Transfer RNA (tRNA) molecules are approximately 80 nucleotides in length. Their secondary structure includes four short double-helical elements and three loops (D, anti-codon, and T loops). The record is from RNAcentral. Lineage: Bacteria; Bacillati; Bacillota. RNAcentral also lists the same sequence under 1 other name.